AUACGUAGGUGGCAAGCGUUGUCCGGAAUUAUUGGGCGUAAAGCGCAUGUAGGCGGUAAUUUAAGUCUGUCGUGAAACUGCGGGGCUCAGCCCCGUAUGGCGAUGGAAACUGGGUUACUUGAGUGCAGGAGAGGAAAGGGGAACUCCCAGUGUAGCGGUGAAAUGCGUAGAUAUUGGGAAGAACACCGGUGGCGAAGGCGCCUUUCUGGACUGUGUCUGACGCUGAGAUGCGAAAGCCAGGGUAGCGAACGGGAUUAGAUACCCCGGUAGUCCUGGCCGUAAACGAUGGGUACUAGGUGUGGGAGGUAUCGACCCCUUCCGUGCCGGAGUUAACGCAAUAAGUACCCCGCCUGGGGAGUACGGCCGCAAAGCUUAAACUCAAAUGAAUUGGCGGGG
This 396-nucleotide ribosomal RNA is filed under the name uncultured bacterium. RNAcentral describes it as "partial 16S ribosomal RNA". It matches the Rfam family "Bacterial small subunit ribosomal RNA", at positions 523 to 918 of the family's 1533-position model. The record is from RNAcentral.